CCACAGGUAAUGUAAUACCGUAUAACACCACAGGUACUGUAAUACUGUAUAACACUAACACCACAGGUACUGUAAUACUGUAUUACACUAUAACACCACAGGUACUGUAAUACUCUAUAACACUAUAACACCACAGGUACUGUAAUACUGUAUAACACUAACACCACAGGUACUGUAAUACUGUAUAACACUAUAACACCACAGGUACUGUAAUACUGUAUAACACUAUAACACCACAGGUACUGUAGUACUGUAUAACACUAACACCACAGGUACUGUAAUACUGUAUAACACUAUAACACCACAGGUACUGUAAUACCGUAUAACACCACAGGUACUGUAGUACUGUAAUACCGUAUAACACCACAGGUACUGUAAUACUGUAUAACACUAACACCACAGGUACUGUAGUACUGUAAUACCGUAUAACACCACAGGUACUGUAAUACUGUAUAACACUAACACCACAGGUACUGUAAUACUGUAUAACACUAUAACACCACAGGUACUGCAAUACCGUAUAACACCACAGGUACUGUAAUACUGUAUUACACUAUAACACCACAGGUACUGUAAUACUCUAUCACUAUAACACCAAAGGUACUGUAAUACUGUAUAACACUAUAACACCACAGGUACUGUAAUACUGUAUAACACUAACACCACAGGUACUGUAAUACUGUAUAACACUAUAACACCACAGGUACUGUAAUACUGUAUAACACUAACACCACAGGUACUGUAAUACUGUAUAACACUAACACCACAGGUACUGUAAUACUGUAUAACACUAUAACACCACAGGUACAGUAAUACUGUAUAAUAAUAUAACACCACAGGUACUGUAAUACUAUAUAACACUAUAACACCACAGGUACUGUAAUACUGUAUAACACUAUAACACCACAGGUACUGUAAUACUGUAUAACACUAUAACACCACAGGUACUGUAAUACCGUAUAACACCAAAGGUACUGUAGUACUGUAAUACCGUAUAACACCACAGGUACUGUAAUACUGUAUAACACUAACACCACAGGUACUGUAAUACUGUAUAACACUAUAACACCACAGGUACUGUAAUACUGUAUAACACUAUAACACCACAGGUACUGUAAUACACUAACACCACAGGUACUGUAAUACUGUAUAACACUAUAACACCACAGGUACUGUAAUACUGUAUAACACUAUAACACCACAGGUACUGUAAUACUGUAUAACACUAUAACACCACAGGUACUGUAAUACUGUAUAACACUAUAACACCACAGGUACUGUAAUACCGUAUAACACCAAAGGUACUGUAGUACUGUAAUACCGUAUAACACCACAGGUACUGUAAUACUGUAUAACACUAACACCACAGGUACUGUAAUACUGUAUAACACUAUAACACCACAGGUACUGUAAUACUGUAUAACACUAUAACACCACAUGUACUGUAAUACUGUAUAACACUAUAACACCACAGGUACUGUAAUACUGCAUAGCACUAUAACACCACAGGUACUGUAAUUCUGUAUAACACUAUAACACCACAGGUACUGUAAUACUGUAUAACACUAUAACACCACAGGUACUGUAAUGCCGUAUAACACCACAGGUACUGUAAUACUGUAUAACACUAACACCACAGG
This 1640-nucleotide long non-coding RNA is filed under the name Oncorhynchus mykiss (rainbow trout). RNAcentral describes it as "lncRNA (ENSOMYG00000072614.1)". The record is from RNAcentral. Lineage: Eukaryota; Metazoa; Chordata; Actinopteri; Salmoniformes; Salmonidae.